RNAcentral lists this ribosomal RNA (506 nucleotides) under uncultured Actinomycetes bacterium. RNAcentral describes it as "bacterial SSU rRNA". It matches the Rfam family "Bacterial small subunit ribosomal RNA", at positions 8 to 522 of the family's 1533-position model. The record is from RNAcentral. Lineage: Bacteria; Bacillati; Actinomycetota; Actinomycetes.
AGAGUUUGAUCCUGGCUCAGGACGAACGCUGGCGGCGUGCCUAACACAUGCAAGUCGAACGAGGUUGAUCUGGUGGCAACACCAGUGACUACCUAGUGGCGAACGGGUGAGUAACACGUGAGGAACCUGCCCCGAAGACCGGGAUAACCCUCCGAAAGGAGAGCUAAUACCGGAUACCCCCACCGGAUCGCAUGAUCUGGUGAGGAAAUGGAUUCCGCUUCGGGAGGGCCUCGCGGCCUAUCAGCUAGUUGGUGGGAUAACGGCCCACCAAGGCAUCGACGGGUAGCUGGUCUGAGAGGACGAUCAGCCACACUGGGACUGAGACACGGCCCAGACUCCUACGGGAGGCAGCAGUGGGGAAUCUUGCGCAAUGGGCGAAAGCCUGACGCAGCAACGCCGCGUGGGGGGAUGAAGGCUCUCGGGUUGUAAACCCCUUUCAGCAGGGACGAAUCAAGACGGUACCUGCAGAAGAAGCCCCGGCUAACUACGUGCCAGCAGCCGCGGUA